Orcinus orca (killer whale) is the source of this 7305-nucleotide long non-coding RNA. RefSeq lists it as uncharacterized. The transcript has 2 exons. NCBI's taxonomy places the organism in Eukaryota, Metazoa, Chordata, Mammalia, Artiodactyla, Delphinidae. The record is from RefSeq and is a predicted model, not a curated record.
AUAUUUCCGCGCCGGUUUCGAGGGUCUUUACCGGGAGCCGCCAUUUUCUCACGUACUGCCGAACGACGGGGGAGGUCUUCCUUUUCCUGCAUUCCGCGGGAAGGUCAAAAACGAUUCACAUAUUGAAGCCCUAAGACCCAGUGUGGCUUUAAUCAGAGAUGGGGCUCCUAAGGUAAGUAAUUAAGGUUAAAUGAGGUUGUAAGUGUGGGGCUCCAGGAAGUUUAGUGUCCUUAUUUAUAAGAAGAGAAACCAGAAAGCAGUGUCUCACCAGAAACUAUAUCUGCUGGAACCUAGAUCUUGGACUUCUAGCCUCUGGAACUAUGAGAAAAUUAAUUUCUGUUGUUUAAGCCACCUACUCUGGUAUUUUGUUAUGGCAACAAGAGCAGUCUAAUACAGUGGUGAAUUACAUUGUUUAUAAAAUUAGACAACUUUUAACCGACUUUGCAUUCUUUGGAUAAACCCAAUGUAGUCAUGAAGUAUUUAUCUUUUUAAAAUGUUGCUUAAUGUGUUCAGUAGAAACCUGGGAAACAUUUGUGGGGUCAUGGUGGAAGGAAUAUGAUUUUGGAUCAAGCAAAUUUAAUAUGGGCUUACUAUGAAUUGAUUCUGGUUUUUAUGUGUGAGCUCAGUGAGAAUGGCUCUAACAGUUUGCUUGGUUGGUUGACUGAAACUUGACUUAAAGGUGAACUACAUUAAAGUUUAAAUGCCAGAAAUUCCUUGUUCCAUAUUCUGUAAAGUAUCCAAAAGUAUAUGGAGUUAGGAAUGCUAAUGUAGAUUUAUCAUGUAAAACCAGCUUACCCAUCCCCUAAAUACAUAACCCAGGAGCAUCCAGAAGACAGUCUCUUCAAUGAAGCUAAUCUGGCUACAGAAAAUGGAAGUAUACUAUUAUAACAUUCUGUCACUAUACACGAAGAGGUAUAUAUAAUAAUACUUAUACUGACAAGUUAAUGAUACAUGCUGUAAACUAAAGGAACCACUUAAAUAACAAAAGUAUGGGGAAUUCCCUGGUGGUCUAGCAGUUAGAUUCCGUGCUUCCACUGCUGGGGGCCCACGUUCAAUCUCUGGUCGGGGAACUAAGAUCCCACAAGCCAUGCAUGGUGCAGCCAUAAAUAAAUAGAUAAAUAGAUAAAUAAAUAAAUAAAUAAAAUAAGCCAACAAAGAAGAUAAAUAAUCAUAAGACAUACUCAGUUACUCCAAAAGAUAGUAGGAAAAGGGGAGCAAAGAAUAGAUGGGGGCUUCCCUGGUAGCACAGUGGUUAAGAAUCUGCCUGCCAAUGCAGGGUACAUGGGUUCGAGCCCUGGCCCAGGAAGAUCCCACAUGCUGCGGAGCAACUAAGCCUGUGCGCCACAGCUACUGAGCCUGCGUUUCACAACUACUGAGGCCUGUGUGCCAGGAGCCUGUGCUCUGCAACAGGAGAGGCCACCAUGAUGAGAAACCCGUGCACCACAACAAAGAGUAGCCCCCGCUUGCUGCAACUAGAGGAAGCCCACACACAGCAACGAAGACCCAGCACAAGCCAAAAAUAUAAAUUAAAAAAAAAAAAAAUAGGUGGGAUGAAUAGCAAAUUGUACAUUUUUAAUCUCAACCUAACUACAUUCUCACAUUAAACAUAAAUGAUUUAAACACCCCAAUAAAAGGACAUAUUGUCAACUCGAUAAAAAAGCAAGGCCUAACUAUAUAUUACCUUCUAGAAAACCACUUUAAAUAUUAAGUGACGAAUAGGUUAAAAGUAAACCAUGUUAAAUAGAGAUGUGAAAGAUAUAAAAAGAAAGUCCCAAGUCAAAUUUCUAGAGAUUAAAAACUACAAUUUGAAAGAAAACAUACACUGAUGGAAUUAAUGGCAAUUAGACAUGGCAUAAGAAAAGAUUAGUUAACUUGAAGACACAGCAAUAGAAACUAUCCAAAAUGAUACAAGGGGCUGUGCUGGGGGGGUCUUAAAAAGCAUGAGCAGUUUUUUAACCUAUUAGGGUAUGCAAAAGAAAAGACCAGUGAAGUUGAUGACAAGGCAAAAGAAACUCACGUACAAAAGCUAAUAAAAGCUUUUAUUAAAAAGAGAAAAGCCUUGAGUUCUCAGCCAAUGGGGUAAGAGGUAUCAUUGUGAGGAACACCAGGUGGAAAUCUCUCAAACUGCCCUCCACUCUCUUCUCAAGAUAGUGAAUGAAGAAACAAUAUUAUGGGAGGGCUUAUAAAAUAUGAACAUGUAACAUAUAAAAUAUUUUUUAAACCCCAUUACACAUUGUUAUAAUUAACAUGUUAAUCACUUCUCUGCCUUUUUGAUCCAAUGGAAUACAGUUAUAACUGUUUAUACAGUUAUCAUACUGUCCUUGUUUGCUCAAUCUAGCAUCGUCAGUUUCCGGUCACUUCUGAUUGGUUUUUCUCAAUAUUGGUCAUACUUUCUGGCUUUUAUGCAUGCUUGGUAAUUUUUGGUUGGAUGACAAACAUUGUUAAUUAAUGUGUUUGCACUCCUAUAAAUAUUCUUGAGGUUUGUUUUGAGAUACAUUAAAGUUACUUGGAAACAGUUUGGUCCUUUCUGAUCCUACUUUAGAUCUCAGUUGAGCAAGACCAGAUUGCUUAUUGGAUGAGACUCAGCCAAUUAACAAUGAGUGCCUACUCUGUCAGGCAUUCUAGACAUCUGGUAAUAUAGGGGUUAACAGAAGGUCCCUAAACAGUAGAAGUACUUGUUACUUCUUCAUGAAGCUUACAGUCUAAAUUUUACAGACUAUAACUUACAUUCAAGACCUUAUAUUUGAGCACAAACUCAGGAAGAUGAUAUUUGUUAUUUGAUAUUUGUUAUAUUUCUGCUUUGUAUUGAAACUGAUAUAGCAAUGUUUAUACAUGAUCUAAGAUCCUCAUAUAUUCCACAUUAAAAUCCUUAAGAAAACAAUUGAGAUGUUCUCUUCAAGUAAUUCUAAGUUUUUACAUCAUGUGUUUUUUAAAAAUCAUUUACAAUGCCAUUAAGAUACCUAAUCUACUUACAUGCCUUCACUCCUAGCUUCUCCCUAAGGGACCUGACCUCAUGCUCUUCCUCAAAUCCCAGUUUUCCAGCAGUAGACUUGGUCUGAACCUUAAUGCUACAUCAGUUUUAUGCCAGUCCCUACUGACAUUACUCCUGGCUACAGCUCAGUAAUUAUAGAGAUUCUGAAAAUAUUUGCCAGAUUGGUUAAAGGGCUAUAGUAUUCCAGUCUAGAACCAGAUUGAGCCCACACUUCCAGAGCUCCUUGACCUAUUCCCAAUCUGAUUCAGUCGAUCCAGCUCUGUGAAGUAUGAUACCAGGCCACAGUUGAUUCUAUUAUGAUCUACUUUUCUCUUCCUCAUGUGACACUCAAACAUGUAAGACUCGAGAGUCCCUUAGUUGAGAGGAAAUGGAACCACCCCAACAUUCUUCCUGACAUCUAUAUCCAUUCCAUCAAUGAGGAAAAGGGAAGGGUUGGGCAGAGAGCUAUCUCCAGAGGGAAGAAUGCAGCUGAAUAGUUAUCCAGUUUAGAUUUUCAUAUUCCCAGGAUUCUGAGAAUAAUUUGGAUAAUCAGAGAAGAGAGAGCUAGGAUGGAAGCAAGAAGAGUCAUCUUAAUUUGUGUUCAAAUUGCCCAUUUUAUUUUCAUGUUUUCAGGAAAAAAACUACCAAGAGUUAUGUUGGAAUGUAUUUUGUUAGUUAAUUUAUAGGUUUAAAUUACUAAUUGUCCUUGGGCUUUCAGUUCAUUUUGCAAACCUGAUUUCACUACCUUUUCAAGUCUAGAAAAUUUUAAAAAUCACAUUUAUAGUGACCUUUAUGGUAUAAUGCUUAGUCUUAUUUAUAAAUUGAACUUAAGCUCAUUCAAGGACAUAAGUUAUAUUUAUGAAUUUAAUAUUCAUUUCUGUUGUGAGGGAAUUGAGUUGUCUGAAAUAAUAUUUAAAUAAAUUUAGAGCCUAAGAAAUGCAGCAGCUAAUCAUAUAUUGGGUGGGCAUUGAAGUAAUUUUUUUUUAAAAAAAGAAAAAGAAUCCACAAUUAGGAGAAAUGAGUAUAACAUGAUAACCUUAACCAGUGAUGUGGGGUAGACUGUCUUUCUCCUUAAAAUUAUGGAAUCAUAAGCAUAGUAACUAGGAAUAUUGUUCAAGGUUUCUUGUCCAAAAUUAUACAUCAGGUAUAUUGUGUAAUGUAUUAUGAAGUGGGAAUUGGUACAUAAAGCUCUAGAAUGUUUCUCAUUUUCACAGGCUUUGCUUCACAAGAACUUUAGUAAGAUAUUCCACAAUUAGUGUGUUCACAGUGUUUUAUUUGUAUAUGAUUUCAUCAGCUAAUGGAUGGGGCAGAAAACCCUGCCACAUUCACUGCCUUCCAAGUUUCUCUCCAGUAUGUAAUGACACCUAUUGAGGGAAGGACUUUACCACUCUCAUAUUUUUACACACUAUAAUCUCACUGAUGACCUUGGUAAUCACUGAUAAUAGGAUCUAUCUUCCAAAACACAGCUUUCCUAACCUCUGCCUUCAUAGGUUUGCUUUUUAUACAUAACCAUAUAACCAGCUAUACAUUAUUGCUCAAGGCUUUUCCAAAUAGAAUGUACCAGUUUUUUCCUAUGUGUUUUUUGUGACAUAAAAUAAGAUAUAAUUGACCACUGAAGGCAUAACCACAUUCAUUGCAUUCAUGAAGUUUCUCUCCUGCAUAAACUCUCUGUUAUCUCCUGAGGGUGCACCUCUGGCCUCUGGCUGUUCCAUAAGGACUACAUUCCUAUCUGCUAGGAGCCCACUGAUGUUUAAUGUCUGAGGGGUUGCAGAAGGCAUCUGCACAGUCACCAUAUUAACAGUGUUUUCCCCCUGCAUGAGUUCACUAGUAUCUAAUAAGCUGUGACCCUUUGUGGAAGGAUAUUCCACCUUCACUGAAUCUACUUGUUUCUCUCUUGUGUGUGUCCUCUUAUGUUUAACCAAGCAUGACAUGUGGGAGAAAGCUUUCCCACACUCAUUGCAUCCAUAGGGCCUCUCUCCUGUGUGAGUUCUUUGAUGGACAAUGAGCAUUGUCUUUGUAGUGAAGGCUUUCCCACAGUCACUGCAUGCAUAGGGUUUCUCUCCUGUGUGAAUUCUCUGAUGUUUAAUGAGUCCUGAUUUCUGUGAACAAGAUUUUCCACAGUCAGUACAUACAAAGGGAGUCUUUCCUGUAUGAAAUCGCUGAUGUGCUAUGAGGCAUGCCUUCUGGCUGAAGGCCUUACCACAUUCAGUGCAUCCAUAGGGUUUCUCUCCAGUGUGAGUUCGUUGAUGUAUAAUAAGAUUGCCCUUCUGUAUGAAACCUUUUCCACAUUCACUGCAUAUAUAAGAUUUCUCUCCUGUAUGAAUUUUCUGGUGCAGAAUGAGCUGUGAUUUUCUGGAGAAACCUUUCCCACACUCAUUGCAUACAUGGGGUUUUUCUCCUCUUUUGUUUCUCUGAUGUAUAACGAGCUCUGCCUUCCUAAAGAAGGCUUUGCCACAUUCAGGACAUUCAUAGGGUUUCUCUCCUGUAUGAGUUCUCUGGUGUUCAGUUAGCUUGAACUUUCUGUAGAAUGCUUUCGCACAUACACUGCAUACAUGGGGUUUAUUUCCUGUAUGAGUCUUCUGAUGUUCAGUAAGCUGAAAUUUCCUGAGGAAGGCUUUUCCACAUUCACGGCACUCAUGGGGUUUCUCUCCUUUGUGAGUUCGCUGAUGUUCAGUGAGCUUGAACUUCUUGGAGAAGGUUUUCCCACAGACACUACAUCUGUGGGGUUUCUUUCCUGUAUGAAUUCUCUUAUGUUCAUUGAGCCGAGACUUCUUGAGGAAGGCUUUCCCACAUUCAGUACAUUCGUGGGUGUUCUCUAUUUUGUGUAUGUCCUGAUGUUUAAUUUCAGUAUGAGUUUGCUCAUGAUCAGCAUGGAGAAAGGAUCUCCCAUCUCCAUUAAACUUAGCAGACUCCAUUUUUUUGCAGCUUGUACUCAGGUUGAUUACAUCUAAAUAUGAUUUCAUAGUUUUCCCAUGUAAAUCAAAUACAUCAUGAUUUGGCCUCAAAGGAAAACAACUUUUGCUCUGAUAAAUAAUAUUCUCAAAUGCAUUCUGUUCAUAACACUGUUCCAACAUCUUCAGUAUAUUUUGGUUUUGCCAGUGUGGCUGCAUAUGAUCAUCCACUUUAUCAAUUUCUAGGAAAGAGAACAAUUAACCCUUCCAUGAGUACCAUAUGGAAUAAAACUGCUUCAAAAAUACCUUGGGGGACUUCCCUGGGGGUCCAGUGUUUAAGACUUCACCUUCCAAUGCAGAGGGUGCAGGUUCGGUGCCUUGUUGGGGAGCUGGGAUCCCGCAUGCCUCAUGGCCAUAAAACCAAAACAUAAAACAGAAGCAAUAUUGCAACAAAUUCAAUAAACACUUAAAAAAGAUACCUUGGAGUGAGCUGGCUCUUUAAUGGAAAACCUCUGAUAUCAAAUAUAAAAGAAAUUCCAAGUAUAAAAGUACCUUAUCUUUUUAAAAAAAAAAAACUUUUCACAAUUGUUGUUAAAUAUAUAUAAGAUAAAUUUUAUCAUUUUUAAGUGUAUAUUUAUGUGGCAUUAAGUACAAUCACAUUGUUGUACAACGAUCACGACCAUUCAUCUCUAGUUCUUUUUCAUCUUCCCCAACUGAAAAACUCUGUAUCCAUUAAACACUAACUCCUGUCUCUUGGAAAUUGUUAAAGACACAGUAAUAUAAAACACCAAACAACCCAAAAGAUAACAGCCAUCAGGGUAAAAAUUCUUUACUUUCACUGAAGCCAUAUUCUAUGGGUGGAAAGGGAAACAAUAAACAAAUAAGAUAAGGAAUAAAGUAAGCAGUUCCAAGUGUGACAGUGGUUUGAAGAAGCAAAGGAAAUAAGAAGUGGAAGAUGUCAGGAUUUAUUUGGAAGGAAGAAUAAACAAGACUCACUAAUGGAUUUGAUGUGAGGAGAGGUAACAAAAGAGGGAAUCAAAGUGCACGCCUGAGUAUUUGGCUUGACCCAUUGGGUAGUUGGGUAGUGCCUUUUAACAAGAUGAGGAAUAUCACCAAACUUCAGAAUGUGAGGGAAACCAAGUUCAGAAUAUGAGGGAAACCAAGUACAUUUUGAAACAUAUCAUUUUUGAGAUAAUAUCCAAGCACAGACACGGAAAAGCCAGUCAGAUGAUAAGACUUGAGUAAGGUCUUGACUGAAAAUAGCAAUGUGGAAACAUCAGUAUGUAAAUAUUAUUUAAGGGGACUUCCCUGGCAGUCCAGUGAUUAGGACUUGGCACUUUCACUGCCAUGGGCCCAGGUUCAAUCCUGGUUGGGGAAUUAAGAUCCCGCAAGCUGCAUGGUGCAGCCAAAAAAAAAAAAAAAAAAAAACCCAAAACAAAGAAA